RNAcentral lists this ribosomal RNA (326 nucleotides) under uncultured eukaryote. RNAcentral's name for it is "partial 18S ribosomal RNA". It matches the Rfam family "Eukaryotic small subunit ribosomal RNA", at positions 1470 to 1796 of the family's 1831-position model. The record is from RNAcentral.
CCCUUAGAUGUUCUGGGCCGCACGCGCGCUACACUGAUGCACUCAACGAGUCUCACCUUGACCGAAAGGUCCGGGAAAUCUUCGAACUUGCAUCGUGAUGGGGAUAGAUUAUUGCAACUAUUAAUCUUCAACGAGGAAUGCCUAGUAAGCGCAAGUCAUCAGCUUGCGUUGAUUACGUCCCUGCCCUUUGUACACACCGCCCGUCGCUCCUACCGAUUGAAUGGUCCGGUGAAGCGUUCGGACCGUGGCCUUUGGACGGUUCGCCGUCUGUUGGCUGCGGGAAGUUCGUUAAACCUUAUCAUUUAGAGGAAGGAGAAGUCGUANCA